GAUGAACGCUGGCGGCGUGCCUCAAACAUGCAAGUCGAGCGAGGCUAUGAGUUACCGCAAGUAAGGCAUAGCCUAGCGGCGAACGGGUGAGUAACACGUGGGUAACCUACCUGGAAGACAGGGAUAACGAUUCGAAAGGGUCGCUAAUACCUGAUAAUAUCCAUCUGCCGGAUGGCGGAGGGAAGAAAGGGGAAACCCGCUUUCAGAUGGGCCCGCGUCCCAUCAGCUAGUUGGUAAGGUAAAGGCUUACCAAGGCGACGACGGGUAGCCGGUCUGAGAGGAUGUACGGCCACACUGGGACUGAGAUACGGCCCAGACUCCUACGGGAGGCAGCAGUUGGGAAUCUUAGGCAAUGGACGAAAGUCUGACCUAGCGACGCCGCGUGAGGGAAGAAGGCCUUCGGGUUGUAAACCUCUGUCAUGGGGGAAGAAGGAAGUGACGGUACCCCAAGAGGAAGCCCCUGCUAACUACGUG
This 474-nucleotide ribosomal RNA is filed under the name uncultured bacterium. RNAcentral's name for it is "bacterial SSU rRNA". It matches the Rfam family "Bacterial small subunit ribosomal RNA", at positions 28 to 507 of the family's 1533-position model. The record is from RNAcentral.